CAAGUGCGAGAGUAACUGCUCGCACCUUGACGGUACCUAACCAGAAAGCCACGGCUAACUACGUGCCAGCAGCCGCGGUAAUACGUAGGUGGCAAGCGUUGUCCGGAAUUAUUGGGCGUAAAGGGCUCGCAGGCGGUUUCUUAAGUCUGAUGUGAAAGCCCCCGGCUCAACCGGGGAGGGUCAUUGGAAACUGGGAAACUUGAGUGCAGAAGAGGAGAGUGGAAUUCCACGUGUAGCGGUGAAAUGCGUAGAGAUGUGGAGGAACACCAGUGGCGAAGGCGACUCUCUGGUC
RNAcentral lists this ribosomal RNA (292 nucleotides) under Bacillus pumilus. RNAcentral describes it as "partial 16S ribosomal RNA". It matches the Rfam family "Bacterial small subunit ribosomal RNA", at positions 444 to 734 of the family's 1533-position model. The record is from RNAcentral. Lineage: Bacteria; Bacillati; Bacillota; Bacilli; Caryophanales; Bacillaceae.